AGAAUGGCUGGUGCUGAUCUGAUCAAUCUGUUUAGUCAGUGCUGUGAAAGCACUGGCAUCGAAGCUUUUGGUGUAGAUGCAGCUAAGAGCUGUGCCGCCUCUUGCCAAGAGAACUCAGCUGCCUGGAUCAGAGCAGGGAGUCAAAAUGAGGUGGAAUAUCUGCUGCAAUGCACAGGAGCUGAAGGACUGGGCAGCUACCAACGGUCUCUUGCAAGUAUAGAAGAAACUCUGGUUUUCAGAAGAAUGAACUUCAAAAUUCUAGAAGCAGGUUGUACAGGAGAGGAGGAACAGUGUGCAUGGGGACUGAGGCACGGGUAACUUGAACCAGUGUCUGAACACCUUGUGCACAGGACCUUCACAGCCAGGAAUAAGUCCUUGUCUUAGAAAGGAGAAGAGCUGAUGCACUAUGGAAGACCACAUUUGGUUACAAGAAGUCAAUUACUCUCUAUCCUUUCUCUCAUCUCUCUUGCUCCCUUGUCAUCCCUGGGGUAGGAGCCAGCUUCCAGAAUAGGCGAGGACUCUAAAAGAAGAUGGCACAAUGAGGCCAUAAAAGCAAUCAAAUCUUUAUGCUCUUCCUUUGGUGGUUUGCUUUUCUCCAGGGAGUUGUGAAGGUAGCAAGCAGCUCUUGGGAAGUUAACCUUGAACAAGGCUGUAGGGCAACACAGACCCAGAGAAAGACUGAAUAGAGUUUUUGUCACUUAUCAGUGCAGAAAUACGCAGAAGUAACCCAGUGAGUGAAACCUGGAUACUCAGAGGAGUAGAGUCAUAAAAGACUUUGGAGUAAGAAUGGAAGGUUGGAUGCAUUCAGUCAGUGCUAAAAUAGAAUGUAGGACUAGAAGAGGGUCAUUUUUCAUGUAGCUCAGUAAGACUGCAGGGUAUCCCUCUUCUCAUGCAGUAGAUGGAGAGGGAAUGUAAAAGGAUUGGGCAGCACUACCCAGUGCAAAUUUCUAUUUACUCAUCUGCCAAAAUGCUAUCAGAAACCUCCAGAACUGCUCCCCUACGUCUACAGACACUCAUCAAAUGCAUUGCUUAAACUUUUAUAACUGAGAGCAUCAAAAUUGUGUCACUGAAAAGCUGUUCUGUGAUCUAUAGGUCAUUGUGUCACUCUUGUAAGUGAAAAAUAUUAUGCAAGGACUUCUGUGCUUGCAUGCUGUGACUUUAGAUUUUGGAUCCUGUGUUUAAAAACUAUAGCUCUAACAUUUCUUCCUCUUAUUGCACUCAGAGCUGCAGCUCCCCUCCUCCAUGCUGUUUCUCUGGGUUGUAAAAUUCAGAUUUCCUUUCUUUCUUUUACUGUACAGCUGCAGAGGGGAUUUUUCUAUUUGCUUGUUUUCCCUCAUCAUGUUUGGUCCCCGCAGCUAUGACCUUUGACAAAAAGCAUAAAGCAUAUGGAGAAACAAAAAAACAAAGAGAAAAGAUAGAUUGGCUUAGAC
This is a long non-coding RNA of Gallus gallus (chicken), 1430 nucleotides long. The record is from Ensembl. NCBI's taxonomy places the organism in Eukaryota, Metazoa, Chordata, Aves, Galliformes, Phasianidae.